RNAcentral lists this transfer RNA (73 nucleotides) under Gemmatimonadales bacterium. RNAcentral describes it as "tRNA-Gly". It matches the Rfam family "tRNA". Rfam says of the family: Transfer RNA (tRNA) molecules are approximately 80 nucleotides in length. Their secondary structure includes four short double-helical elements and three loops (D, anti-codon, and T loops). The record is from RNAcentral. Lineage: Bacteria; Pseudomonadati; Gemmatimonadota; Gemmatimonadia; Gemmatimonadales.
GCGGGGGUAGCUCAGUCGGUAGAGCGCGGCCAUGCCACGGCCGAGGUCGCGGGUUCGAGUCCCGCCCACCGCU